UACGAAGGGGGCUAGCGUUGCUCGGAAUUACUGGGCGUAAAGCGCACGUAGGCGGCUUCUUAAGUCGAUGGUGAAAUCCUGGAGCUCAACUCCAGAACUGCCUUCGAAACUGGGAAGCUCGAGUUCGGGAGAGGUGAGUGGAACUGCGAGUGUAGAGGCGAAAUUCGUAGAUAUUCGCAAGAACACCGGUGGCGAAGGCGGCUCACUGGCCCGUUACUGACGCUGAGGCACGAAAGCGUGGGGAGCAAACAGG
Molecule: ribosomal RNA, 253 nt
Filed under: uncultured bacterium
Lineage: Bacteria
Description: partial 16S ribosomal RNA
Rfam family: Bacterial small subunit ribosomal RNA
Source: RNAcentral